Molecule: ribosomal RNA, 699 nt
Filed under: Kocuria sediminis
Lineage: Bacteria; Bacillati; Actinomycetota; Actinomycetes; Micrococcales; Micrococcaceae
Description: bacterial SSU rRNA
Rfam family: Bacterial small subunit ribosomal RNA
Source: RNAcentral
GUUGGGNACUAGGUGUGGGGGACAUUCNCGUUCUCCNCGCCGUAGCUAACGCAUUAAGUGCCCCGCCUGGGGAGUACGGCCGCAAGGCUAAAACUCAAAGGAAUUGACGGGGGCCCGCACAAGCGGCGGAGCAUGCGGAUUAAUUCGAUGCAACGCGAAGAACCUUACCAAGGCUUGACAUUCACCGGACCGCCCCAGAGAUGGGGUUUCCCUUCGGGGUCGGUGGACAGGUGGUGCAUGGUUGUCGUCAGCUCGUGUCGUGAGAUGUUGGGUUAAGUCCCGCAACGAGCGCAACCCUCGUUCUAUGUUGCCAGCACGUGAUGGUGGGGACUCAUAGGAGACUGCCGGGGUCAACUCGGAGGAAGGUGGGGAUGACGUCAAAUCAUCAUGCCCCUUAUGUCUUGGGCUUCACGCAUGCUACAAUGGCCGGUACAAAGGGUUGCGAUACUGUGAGGUGGAGCUAAUCCCAAAAAGCCGGUCUCAGUUCGGAUUGAGGUCUGCAACUCGACCUCAUGAAGUCGGAGUCGCUAGUAAUCGCAGAUCAGCAACGCUGCGGUGAAUACGUUCCCGGGCCUUGUACACACCGCCCGUCAAGUCACGAAAGUUGGUAACACCCGAAGCCGGUGGCCUAACCCCUUGUGGGAGGGAGCCGUCGAAGGUGGGACUGGCGAUUGGGACUAAGUCGUAACAAGGNNNAAC